RNAcentral lists this small RNA (276 nucleotides) under Histoplasma capsulatum var. duboisii H88. RNAcentral describes it as "Histoplasma capsulatum H88 hypothetical RNA". The record is from RNAcentral. Lineage: Eukaryota; Fungi; Ascomycota; Eurotiomycetes; Onygenales; Ajellomycetaceae.
AUAUCAGUCGUGGGGUCGAAUGCAUCAAUCGGAUAGCCAGGGCAUUCGAGCUCCUUUUGGGCAAAUAUUGUUAUAAAAACCUGGCCAAUAGUACCAGUAUUCCCGUAUUUCCACUAUGCCUGGGGCUCUGGAGAAAAUAAAUAUGGAAUGUUCCUUAACAGACAGCGUUGUGCUCAGAGCAUCUGCUGUGGACUCCAGAGGUAGUUAUUGGCCGGCUAGCCACAAGACACCAACAGGUCGGCCACAUCGCAGGCUCAGUUAUGAUGAGCCACCAGC